UCUGGCGGCAGUAGCGCGGUGGUCCCACCUGACCCCAUGCCGAACUCAGAAGUGAAACGCCGUAGCGCCGA
RNAcentral lists this ribosomal RNA (71 nucleotides) under Escherichia coli. The record is from RNAcentral. Lineage: Bacteria; Pseudomonadati; Pseudomonadota; Gammaproteobacteria; Enterobacterales; Enterobacteriaceae. RNAcentral also lists the same sequence under 2 other names.